GAUUACAGUUUACGACUACCCUGAACAAACCCGAUCCCGUCUGAUCUCGGAAGCUAAGCAGGGUGGGGCCUGGUUAGUACUUGGAUGGGAGACCACCUAGGAAGACCAGGUGCUGUAGGCG
This 121-nucleotide ribosomal RNA is filed under the name Pteropus vampyrus (large flying fox). The record is from RNAcentral. Lineage: Eukaryota; Metazoa; Chordata; Mammalia; Chiroptera; Pteropodidae.